AGCAGCCGCGGUAAUUCCAGCUCCAAUAGCGUAUAUUAAAGUUGUUGCAGUUAAAAAGCUCGUAGUUGAAUUUCGGGAUCAAUAUGUUGGUCGUGCCUUGGUACGUACUGGCAUUAUUGGUUUUACCUUCUGAAGAACCUCGAUGUCAUUAAUUUGGUGUCUUGGGGAAUCAGGACUGUUACUUUGAAAAAAUUAGAGUGUUUAAAGCAGGCUCGCGCUUGAAUACAUUAGCAUGGAAUAAUGAAAUAGGACGUUUGAUUCUAUUUUGUUGGUUUCUAGGAUUGACGUAAUGAUUAAUAGGGAUAGUUGGGGGCAUUAGUAUUCAAUUGUCAGAGGUGAAAUUCUUGGAUUUAUUGAAGACUAACUACUGCGAAAAGCAUUUGCCAAGGAUGUUUUCAUUAAUCAAGAACGAAAGUUAGGGGAUCGAAGACGAUCAGAUACCGUCGUAGUCUUAACCAUAAACUAUGCCGACUAGGGAUCGGAUGAUGUUAAUUUUUUAAUGACUCAUUCGGCGCCUUAC
This 520-nucleotide unclassified non-coding RNA is filed under the name uncultured Glomus. RNAcentral's name for it is "SSU rRNA". It matches the Rfam family "Eukaryotic small subunit ribosomal RNA", at positions 569 to 1091 of the family's 1831-position model. The record is from RNAcentral. Lineage: Eukaryota; Fungi; Glomeromycota; Glomeromycetes; Glomerales; Glomeraceae.